GGGGAUUUAGCUCAGUGGUAGAGCACUUGCCUCACAAGCGCAAGGCCCUGGGUUCGGUCCCCAGCUCCA
Non-coding RNA from Rattus norvegicus (Norway rat), 69 nucleotides. Lineage: Eukaryota; Metazoa; Chordata; Mammalia; Rodentia; Muridae. The record is from Rfam.